GACGAACGCUGGCGGCGUGCCUAAUACAUGCAAGUCGAGCGGACUUUCAAGAAGCUUGCUUUUUGAAAGUUAGCGGCGGACGGGUGAGUAACACGUGGGCAACCUGCCUGUAAGACGGGGAUAACUCCGGGAAACCGGGGCUAAUACCGGAUAAUAUCUUUCUUCGCAUGAAGGAAGGUUGAAAGGCGGCGCAAGCUGCCGCUUGCAGAUGGGCCCGCGGCGCAUUAGCUAGUUGGUGAGGUAACGGCUCACCAAGGCGACGAUGCGUAGCCGACCUGAGAGGGUGAUCGGCCACACUGGGACUGAGACACGGCCCAGACUCCGACGGGAGGCAGCAGUAGGGAAUCUUCCGCAAUGGACGAAAGUCUGACGGAGCAACGCCGCGUGAGCGAAGAAGGUCUUCGGAUCGUAAAGCUCUGUUGUCAGGGAAGAACAAGUACCGUUCGAAUAGGGCGGUACCUUGACGGUACCUGACCAGAAAGCCACGGCUAACUACGUGCCAGCAGCCGCGGUAA
This 515-nucleotide ribosomal RNA is filed under the name uncultured bacterium. RNAcentral's name for it is "partial 16S ribosomal RNA". It matches the Rfam family "Bacterial small subunit ribosomal RNA", at positions 28 to 523 of the family's 1533-position model. The record is from RNAcentral.